RNAcentral lists this long non-coding RNA (643 nucleotides) under Sitophilus oryzae (rice weevil). Its description in RNAcentral is "uncharacterized LOC115874624". The record is from RNAcentral. Lineage: Eukaryota; Metazoa; Arthropoda; Insecta; Coleoptera; Curculionidae.
UUUAUCCUGACGAAAGUUCAAACUCUCGAAACUUUCGUGUAGUAUCGGGGGCGGUCGUGCGGAGCCGACUGUAAACCGCCUAAGCUCCUCCUCCUUUCUUCGUUUAGGAUAUGUCUAGGCCGAAACAGAAUAAAAACGUGUUCUUCUUUCAAAUUUUUGGGCAAAUAGACAAAAAUUUGACGUUUAUCCCUAGAUCAUAUAUAUAGAAAUACAUUUUUAAGAUAUUUGUAUACUGUGUUUGUAUAUAAAUUAUAUAUGAUCUAGAGAUUUAUGAUGUGACGAGCAGGUUUUAUUCAAAUAUUUAAAUUAAUCUUUAAUAGCAUUAUGUAAUAGUUAAUAUCUUUUAUGGGUAAUUACCCUUUUAUUGCUGGUUUGGCAGAUUAAGAUUUAUGAUGUUUUCAUAAUGUUUUCCGUCAAAAGAAAUUUAUAUUUAUGAAUUAGUUUUCAGCGGAAGGCUUUAGUAAAAAAUUCGAACCUUAGUAACCGUUUUCUUUUUGCCAAAAAGGUAGAUAUUUUUUUAUGUUAGAAGUUAUAACUUAAUUGGGCAUUGGGCAUCAAAAUAAACAUGUGAAUAUCUUGACUUGGUGUUUGUUGUCUACUUUAAGUGGUACUGAAUUUAUUAAAAUAAACGUUGUUUUCUACA